This is a non-coding RNA of Misgurnus anguillicaudatus (oriental weatherfish), 2062 nucleotides long. The record is from RefSeq and is a predicted model, not a curated record. NCBI's taxonomy places the organism in Eukaryota, Metazoa, Chordata, Actinopteri, Cypriniformes, Cobitidae.
AUGCUGUUUUCGUGUAAUAACAGUAAGUUGCUGUUUUUUACAGUGCAUUGUGGGUAGACUUGCUCACUUCAGGUCGGUUGUCGAGCAACAACAGAAUGUUACUGUUAUUUAACAGUAUUAUAGCAUAUUUUUCGUUGUGCACGCCAUUUUGGAUUGUCUGCAUGAGGUAGGUCUGCAGCUUUAUCGAUGCUUGUGCUAAUUUUAAAUUACAUAUUACUUUUAAAUAUUGCAUUUUAUCCAGUGAAGCUUUUCAAAAAUAAAUCAGAUUUAAUUUCCUAUUUUAAUCAGGCAAAGCGGGUAUUAUACCAUCACAUCAGUUACACUCACAUCAGAUCACAGGUAAGAAUUCACCAAAGUUUUAUCCAACCUGUUUAUUUUACUAAAAUGUGUGUAAAAGAUGAAUGAGGAACGAUCAAAAUCAAUUAUGGGUUUUGUGUCUUUACAUUUUUAAUGUGUGCAUUCUGUCUAUGCAAGUGAAAGAUACGCUUGUGUUAUCUGCAAAUUUGCCUGGUUUUUGUAUUGUCUUAAAAUCCUUUUAAAAUCCUUUGUUACCAAGUAUAUGUACAAAUAACACUAAAAAGAUCUGAUAUUUGUAAAUUCAUUACAUGCUGGUUAGCUGGUUGAAACAUCCUGUUGUAUGUGGCACGCUUUUAUUGGUGGUAAGACACAUUAAGUUUAUAAAAUGGACAUUGUCUCUGUUGCAAACAUGAUUUCAAACUUGUUAAGUCAUUAUGCAUCAAGUACAAGAAAGUGCAGUCAAACUUGAAUUUAUGUUUAUGGUUAGAAACUGAUGUAUAUUUAAAAAGUGUUACAGUUUUGUCCGUAGCAAAACCAAUUGAAUCGCAUCAAAAGAUUACUUCUUGACUCAUCUGAAUUACUUUUAUCCUCCAUGUAGGGUUAUUUUGGUGCUUUGGUGCUAUUUUUGUCCUUAUUCCCUUUUCGUGCAUUGUGUAGACAAACAAAUAUUACAGAUAUUAUUAAGAUGUGUGCCACUCCUGCUGACUUUAAGAAGACUAGUAACUCACCUGUGACACCUUGUUUGAUCCUGUUUGCAUCUUUGGCUAUAUUCUUGGCGAGAACCGGUUAAUGAUAACAUCUUCAACUUGCAAAAAGUGAAAGCAGCAUCCACACUGGAAGUCCUUUAAAGACGCUUCAUUAAAAUCAUACCGGGAACCAAGGCUGCAAAGGGAAAAGUGACCUCUAAAACAGGAAAACUGCAAAAGAAGACCAUCAACAGUCAGUCUCAAACUAUCAAAUCUUUUAAAAAGACUUAUGGACUUUGAGUGGUACUUCAUUUAAAAUGUAGCUGACACUUCCCACCAAUACAGUUUUUUUUUUUUAAAUAUGGUGGGCUGAAGUAAUGGCAGGUGACUUUUCUGAGGAGGCACGAAUGCAUAUCUAGCCAAAACAUUGUCAUGUGUGUGGCUCGUCAUUUCAAGAUGUGCGUUCGGCGCGUCAUGUGAACCUGUGCAUCGCGUGUCAUGUCAAAAUACGUGCCUGCUCCAGACACUUUGAAGGGGAUUAUGAUAAAAGAGAUGCUCACUUUUGCCAUACUAGCUUAAUCUCAUGUGUAAUCAGAGUUUAGUGUUAAAUGAGUGUCUUGCGAGUAUCAUGUCUUUUUUAUUCUUUAUCAUAUUCAAAGCGUUUGCGGCAGGCACGUAUUUUGACAUGAUGUGUGAUCCAUAUAGGUUUACAUUACACUCCAUUCCAGCCACCACUGGUGGGGUGGUGUUUUUAAUACUGGUUUGUAUAUUAUAGACCAUGUUUUCGUAUUUAAAAUUGGGCUGGUGUCUGGUAAAGAAUUAGCAAAUUAAUGUUUUAUUGAAUUCUUUUAAAAAUGUGGUGUUUUUACAGUUGUUAAACUUUUGUGCUUUUUUUUAAAUCAAAAUUUUAAACUACAUUUGUAUUUUAAGUAAAGAUAAGGCAUCUCAAUAUUGUUCUUUGUUUGUUAGAUUUUUUGUGUCAUUUUUUGUAUUAUAUGUUAUUGGUGCCUUUUAAUUGCACCACAGUUUAUGCACUGAAUAUUAAAAUAUAUCUGCUUGUAUUUCUGCCUGUUUUAUGG